This 539-nucleotide long non-coding RNA is filed under the name Triticum aestivum (bread wheat). Its description in RNAcentral is "long non-coding RNA (TAES_LNC027811)". The record is from RNAcentral. Lineage: Eukaryota; Viridiplantae; Streptophyta; Magnoliopsida; Poales; Poaceae.
UCCUUUUUCAUAGAGUUUCGUUGUUUAAUGACAUUGGAUGUUGUCUCUUUGAACAAGCUUAUUAAAUGGUUUUGGCGACCAUGGUUUUUCAUGUACUAGUAAUGCUGAAUGACCUUGACAUCAGCAGAGUAAAUUGCAAAAAACCACCACAAUUGGGUCAAAGUUUUCAAUGCCUCAGAAAAAAACCCACCGGAAAACAUGCAUUUUGAUGGGUGUUUGAUGACAUUUGCACAAAUGUGGUGGUUUUUUGCAAUUUACUCAACAUAUCAGCAAUUUAUUCUAGGCUAUUGAAUAGUUCUAUAUUUCUAUUAUGGAAGGUGCGGUUGCGUGGGCGAGCAAAUGGGAGUCGAGCCCCUGCUGUCCGUGGCGUCCAUGGACAAACGGGAGGUGUCAAAUUUUGCAAUUGUGGUUGGAGAUGCUCUUAGAACUAUCCGAGCAAAUGUCAAAUGAGAUAUUUUGCCCUACUCAUUGGCUAGUGUCCUGGGGAGAAGAAUGAUCACUGCUGCAUGGUCCUUGGGAACUCUUCUUAAGAGCGAAGA